UGGUUCGGGUCAGAAGACGUCCAGAUCCCGGCAAGAUUGCAGAAGGCUCUCCGGCGUUACUCCGACGACUCUCCAGCAACACUCCGGAAACGUACCAGCAGUCUUUUUACCAGCGACCUUACUCCGCCAACGAUUUUUGACAUCAAAUUGACGGAACUAGCAGCUAGCAGGCGUACCGGUGACAUCUACACUUUUUGGCAUUUAGCCACUUCAGUCAGUUUUUGAUUUCCUGUAUAUUAUUUUGCUGUCGUGUCCUUGUCUCUUGUUACGGCUUCUAUUUCAAUUUUUUGGCAUUCUUCCUGUUGCUUGUGUGAGUAGUAGUGUCUGGCUGCUUUGUUUGGAGAUUGUUGUUGAGUUGUGUUUUGGAUUAGUACAUCGCUUGACUUAGUAUUAAUUUGUGGGGUAGACUUUUUCCGCGAUGAUUCCAUCUACUUUACUUGUACCUUCCUUUUCCUGUUGUUGCUUUAUUACUGUCNNN
RNAcentral lists this long non-coding RNA (478 nucleotides) under Capsicum annuum. RNAcentral describes it as "long non-coding RNA (CANN_LNC014327)". Lineage: Eukaryota; Viridiplantae; Streptophyta; Magnoliopsida; Solanales; Solanaceae. The record is from RNAcentral.